This 159-nucleotide ribosomal RNA is filed under the name Triticum aestivum (bread wheat). RNAcentral describes it as "partial small subunit ribosomal RNA". The record is from RNAcentral. Lineage: Eukaryota; Viridiplantae; Streptophyta; Magnoliopsida; Poales; Poaceae.
AUGUACCUCAUAGUUGGGUUGUACCUUCCUCAGGUGUCAAAUGUGAUGCUGUACGUCGUUCAAAUCUUACCUCCAUCUCGGUACAACGAGAAGGAGUUUACUAUGGUCAGUGCAGUGAGAUUCGUGGAACUAAUCAUGCCUUUACGCCUAUUGUCGUAG